AUAUUUAUCUGGCAGGGAGACACCAUGAUCACGCAAGUUUUCCCAAGGCCAGGCUUAGCCAUUGCACUCCAGAUCUGCUGACCUCUGUGAUUUCACCAAAUGUGGGAAAAUCAACUGCAUACAUUAAUUUGUGGUAGUAGGGGACUGUGUUGGCAUUCUCCUUUG
Molecule: small nuclear RNA, 165 nt
Organism: Molossus molossus (Pallas's mastiff bat)
Lineage: Eukaryota; Metazoa; Chordata; Mammalia; Chiroptera; Molossidae
Product: U1 spliceosomal RNA
Exons: 1
Source: RefSeq, a predicted model, not a curated record